This is a long non-coding RNA of Hypanus sabinus (Atlantic stingray), 1858 nucleotides long. RefSeq lists it as uncharacterized. The record is from RefSeq and is a predicted model, not a curated record. The transcript is spliced from 6 exons. Lineage: Eukaryota; Metazoa; Chordata; Chondrichthyes; Myliobatiformes; Dasyatidae.
CUGAGAGUUACAGUAAUGUAGCAGAGCUGGGAAUAGGCCUUUUGCUAGACACUACCACUGACUCGAACUUCCCAAUCAAACCAAACCAGUGGUCGGCAGGAAGUGUCUGCUCUUCACAUCAGGCGUCAGGAGAUCAUUACAGGAACCUCAUAAUUACUGGUCCAAGAGCUCAAAUGAAAAAGUAGAAGAGUUGCUGGGAGUUUGAGGAAGAAUGCUUUCAUUCAGUGGGUGAAAAUCAGGAAGGCAUUGCCUAGAGACGUGGAGGCAAAGCGAGCCAAUCAGGAUUUGGAAGCAGCACUGCGCUGCAUUUCCACCAGUGACCCAUCAUCUUGGAGCACACAUCUCACUUGGGUUGAGUAUGCCCACAACUCCCAGGAAGACCACGUCACUGUGCCUUCAGUUCAGGCCCAUCUCCACUGGUGCCGCAAGGUCUGGAAGGAUGCAUGCUUGACCCCGCUCCGCUCUGCUGACAGCAACUGGAGUAUCGCCGAUCGCCACCGGAUUCCAGCACCCAACUAUCAGCCUGUCCUGAAGAGGAAUGAUCGCCAAGCUGUAUCAAAACAUCUGCAAACUGUAUUUAUGAAUCCCUGAAGCAUUGGUAUCUUAAUCUCACAUCCAGCAUGACAAUUAAAAAUUUCUGCAGGAAAUACCAAAGCUGUGAUAUCAGUCAAUAAAAGCCGAUAUCUCGACUUCACGUCUCAGAGAGUUAUUGAUGGGGCAUCAAUUUUAUUGACUGGAAGUUUUAAAACAUGGAAAGCGUUUUACGUCCGGAAAGAUUGGAUUUGGACCCCCAAGACCCUGAAGCAGCUCUUGCCUUUGAACUCUGGCUUGCAUGCUUCCAAUCAUACUUGGAGAAGGUUAGUGCAACUGAACCCGCUGUUAUGCACCGAAUUCUCCUCUCGAGGGUCACCCCGAAAGUUUACUAACUUAUCAGAGGCCUGCUGACCUACGAAGGGGCACUGGACGCCCUCAAAAGACAGUACCUGCAGCCGGUGAGCACGGUCUAUGCAAGACAUCGCUUAGCUACGCGACGACAGCGGCCUGCAGAGUCGUGUGCCGAGUUUCUCCGAGCCCUACAGACGCUCGUGCGGACUUGCGAUUGCAAAACACUCACGGCGGAACAGCAUGCGGAGCUGCUAGUAUGAGACGCCUUUGUUACAGGAAUCAGGUCAGUGUAUGUGCGCCAGCGGCUGCUGGAAAAUGCCGAUCUUACCUUACGCUUGGCGAUCGAGACGGCCGACACGCUGGAGGCUGUUCUGCACAAUGCUGAUGCAGUCCAGCCGCGCGAUCCCCCGCCGGUACCGUGGACAUCUCAGACCCUGCCGCCUCCGGUUCCUGUGAGCGAAUUCGCCAACGCCACUGCCAGUCGCGAUUCCACGAACUCCCCGAACCCAACCACAGCUGCUGCCAGUCGCAAGCCCGCGCAGCGUUACUUCUGCAGACUUGAAAAGCACACGCAUGAGGGAUCACUGACACCUAGUGGGCUGACACCUCCAGUUAGGCCGGAACCAGCACAACCACCGUCUCCGGUGCAAUCACCACCGGCACCUGUGCAAUCACAGCCGGUGCUACAUAGAUUGCAGUGACAGAUUCGACCACCUGAUAGACUUAACCUGUAAAUAUACUUGUAAGAAACUUCACUCCAUGGGGACUGUCUUUUAAAACAAAGCGGGGGUGAAUGUGGUGAACUACAUAUACCUGUCUGGACACACCUCCUGCUGACUGCUCCUGUGGCUCCUCCCACAAACCCCGGUAUAAAAGCGAUUGAGGCCUGAGCCUGGCCUCAUUCUCCAGGAUGUAGUAUGGUGUUCAACUACUGCUUGUUCUUUCGUCCAGUCAAUAAAAGCCGAUAUCUCGA